GACGAACGCUGACGGUGUGCUUUAGACAUGCAAGUCGAACGAGAAAGCCCUUCGGGGUUAGUAAAGUGGCGAACGGGUGAGUAACACGUGGGCAAUCUGCCCCUCGCAGGGGGACAACCGGAGGAAACUCCGGCGUAAUACCCCGUAAAGUUCAAAGGGAGGCAUCUCUCUUCGAAGAAAGGUAGCUUCGGCCAUCCGGCGAGGGAUGAGCCCGCGGUGUAUUAGCUAGUU
Molecule: ribosomal RNA, 231 nt
Filed under: uncultured bacterium
Lineage: Bacteria
Description: partial 16S ribosomal RNA
Rfam family: Bacterial small subunit ribosomal RNA
Source: RNAcentral